AGUAAAAUUUAGUUAUUGAUAAUUAACUUUUUUCAGAUUUACUA
RNAcentral lists this transfer RNA (44 nucleotides) under Tetranychus malaysiensis. RNAcentral's name for it is "tRNA-Ile". The record is from RNAcentral. Lineage: Eukaryota; Metazoa; Arthropoda; Arachnida; Trombidiformes; Tetranychidae.